This 101-nucleotide transfer RNA is filed under the name Trichoderma harzianum CBS 226.95. It matches the Rfam family "tRNA". Rfam says of the family: Transfer RNA (tRNA) molecules are approximately 80 nucleotides in length. Their secondary structure includes four short double-helical elements and three loops (D, anti-codon, and T loops). Further hydrogen bonds mediate the characteristic L-shaped molecular structure. tRNAs have two regions of fundamental functional importance: the anti-codon, which is responsible for specific mRNA codon recognition, and the 3' end, to which the tRNAs corresponding amino acid is attached (by aminoacyl-tRNA synthetases). tRNAs cope with the degeneracy of the genetic code in two manners: having more than one tRNA (with a specific anti-codon) for a particular amino acid; and 'wobble' base-pairing, i.e. permitting non-standard base-pairing at the 3rd anti-codon position. The record is from Rfam by way of RNAcentral. Lineage: Eukaryota; Fungi; Ascomycota; Sordariomycetes; Hypocreales; Hypocreaceae. RNAcentral also lists the same sequence under 5 other names.
GCUUCCGUAGCUCAGUUGGUUAGAGCUUCGUACUAAUAUUUCCGCCUCACAGCGAAAUCUUGGUAAUGCGAAGGUCGCAGGUUCAAGCCCUGCCGGGAGCA